RNAcentral lists this transfer RNA (72 nucleotides) under Equus caballus (horse). It matches the Rfam family "tRNA". From Rfam's summary of the family: Transfer RNA (tRNA) molecules are approximately 80 nucleotides in length. Their secondary structure includes four short double-helical elements and three loops (D, anti-codon, and T loops). Further hydrogen bonds mediate the characteristic L-shaped molecular structure. tRNAs have two regions of fundamental functional importance: the anti-codon, which is responsible for specific mRNA codon recognition, and the 3' end, to which the tRNAs corresponding amino acid is attached (by aminoacyl-tRNA synthetases). tRNAs cope with the degeneracy of the genetic code in two manners: having more than one tRNA (with a specific anti-codon) for a particular amino acid; and 'wobble' base-pairing, i.e. permitting non-standard base-pairing at the 3rd anti-codon position. Lineage: Eukaryota; Metazoa; Chordata; Mammalia; Perissodactyla; Equidae. The record is from Rfam by way of RNAcentral.
GUCCUGGUGGUCUAGUGGUUAAGACUAGGCGCUCUAACAGCCCUGACCUGGGUUCAUUUCCUAGUCAGGAAA